Long non-coding RNA from Astatotilapia calliptera (eastern happy), 2149 nucleotides. NCBI's taxonomy places the organism in Eukaryota, Metazoa, Chordata, Actinopteri, Cichliformes, Cichlidae. The record is from Ensembl.
UACUAUGUCAAACAAUGAGAAAAAAAAAGGAGUUUCCUCAAAACUAAAACUCUACUCCUUACAUUUGACUCAAAUCUUGUUUCCUUCUCAGUAGCUAAUUGAUGUAGCAAUAAAUACAUGAGGCAGGUGCUUCCUCUGAGUGUUUAAUCGAUUCUGGCAGACCAUGAGGUUCUAUGGGAGACUUUUUUUUUUCUAUUUUUCUUUUUUUAUUUCUAGAUGGGGAUUUGUUGCUCACCAUUAACAGACCUGCAUCUCCUUCACUAACGGAUGCUUCUCUGUGAGCGCGUCACCAUCUACCCAGAUCUCGCAUUUCUCUGCAGCUCUUGUCGCCUUCUCGGUCAGAAGUCGGUGGUAUUUUAAAUAUUUGUUUAAAUCGAUUAACAAGUCAAAGCUGUAAACACCCGGGAGGGGAGGGAGGGCAAGCUUGUAGUGAUUUGUUCAUUUUAGAGGCACUCGUUUUUAUCUAACCUAGCAAACUAAUCACUUUCCUUAUCCCCUCGGCUGAUCUGUGGCUUAUUUGCGAAGCUUCGGGCACGGCUGAACACCGAUGUAGGUGAACCUUGUUCUCUAACCCGUCUGUAACUUAUGCACAUUAGUCACUGUUGACGAACGAGGCGCUUCUGUCGCUCUCUGACCGUUUAAUAAUCCUUAGCCCCGGUCUCUGGCAGUCCUUUAGAGCUUGGCACUUUAAAAAGAAAAAGAAAAAAAAACACACAGACACAAAAAGGGGCAGGCCAUUGAGACGGAUCUGACCCCACCCAAAAAAAAAAAGAAAAGAACUACAAAAGACUCGAAUGAAAAAGAAAAAUACUUGCAUACAGAAUCUACUCGUCACUGAAAGUGAGUUUAGCCAGUGUAGUCUAUAUUUCUUGUAUUAAAUUUUGUAUUAUAUUUUCCUAAAUGUUCUCUUGUAAUGAAAAGACAAAAAAGAGUGAGUAUAUCUAUCUUAUCUAUAUAUAAAAAAAUAUAUAUAUAUAAAUAUAUAUAAAAAUAUGAGUGACAGCCAGACAGACAGGAGGCCAGGCUUGAUGAAGGGAGAGUGGGAGCAGGGGAGCUGAUAGACUGGCCCCUCUCCCUUUGGGUGACUCUCCUGCUGUCAUUCUGUGCCUUGGUGAGCCUUCGACCUCCCUCCUCCUCCUCCUCUUUGGCCCUUACUCAGGUCACGCUCCCCCCUGUCCUCUCCCCCUCUCGCUUGCAUCCCUCCCUCCUCCUCCUCUGGCGGGGCCUUUUUUAAAUUUCAACGUGAGACACUUCCAUGCGUGAGGGCCGCGUGAAGAGAGAAGACCUCAUAAAUGAGUAAAAAUUAUCCCCCCCACCUCCCCCUUUAUCUCAGUUCCUACUGAAGCCGCUGUUGUACUACACCCUGUCCAGGCACUCCUCCGCCCUCUCGCUGCCCGCCCGUCUGCCAGCGCCGCCUCUGUCAUGGAGAUAAAAAACAAACACACACACACACACACACACUGGUGAACUCCCAUGGCAGCUUCCAGUCGCCCCAAAUGGUCACCGAAGGGGUUAAAAACUUCUGGGCUUGAAGCGUGUUUAUCUUUAUUUUGAUUUUUUUGUCAUUUUAUUAUUGUUGUAUGUUGACUUGUUUGUUCGGUGGGAGCCACUGGGAGAGGAGCGAUAAAAAAACAGAAUAAUCCAAUCAAUGGCAGCUUAACGGUGUUAUCCUCCGAGCUCCCGGUGGUGCGUCCCAAACAAAGUGUUACCCAUCGAUCAGGGGACCUCUUGAGACACAGCAAUAUUACCAUCUUGUGCUUUCUGAGGGAGGGUGGGGCGGGUGGGGCGCAGGGUUUUUAAAGACAAGCAGGUGGUUUUUGCUCUUGACUCUGUGGUGCAUUGUUUUUUGUUUUUUUUUGGUGACCAACUCUUAUAUAUAUUUUUUAAUUUUUACCUCCUAUCUGCACUCUCUCCAUAUUCUGCAGGAGGGGAAAAGAGAUGAGGAAAAAACAGCUGUUUGUUUUGGGGUUUUUUUAAUCAUCGAGUUUACAUUCAUGUCAAAGACUUUGUACAUGACUGUUUGUAGCAAAAAAUGUCCUUUUUUCAGUUUGUCAGUCAAAUGAACAACUGAGUAAACCAUUACUAAAUGGCAUAUUCUCUCGCACAGAACCUCCCACAGCGAUAAUUGACAUAAAAAGAAGCAGAAGAC